UACAUGGGGUGCAAACGUUGCUCGGAAUUAUUGGGCGUAAAGCGCACGUAGGCGGUUCGUUAAGUCGGAUGUGAAAGCCCUCGGCUCAACUGAGGAAGUGCACCCGAAACUGGCGAGCUUGAGUACGAAAGAGGAUCGCGGAAUUCCCGGUGUAGAGGUGAAAUUCGUAGAUAUCGGGAGGAACACCGGUGGCGAAGGCGGCGAUCUGGGUCGAUACUGACGCUGAGGUGCGAAAGCGUGGGGAGCAACAGG
Molecule: ribosomal RNA, 252 nt
Filed under: uncultured bacterium
Lineage: Bacteria
Description: partial 16S ribosomal RNA
Rfam family: Bacterial small subunit ribosomal RNA
Source: RNAcentral